RNAcentral lists this small RNA (170 nucleotides) under Streptomyces sp. RNAcentral's name for it is "c-di-AMP sequence". It matches the Rfam family "c-di-AMP riboswitch aptamer (ydaO/yuaA leader)". From Rfam's summary of the family: This family represents a conserved RNA structure found upstream of the ydaO and yuaA genes in Bacillus subtilis and related genes in other bacteria. The ydaO/yuaA element is thought to act as a genetic "off" switch for the ydaO and yuaA genes in its native state. It is believed that the element may be triggered during osmotic shock leading to activation of ydaO, a predicted amino acid transporter gene, and members of the yuaA-yubG operon which code for KtrA and KtrB K+ transporters. RNAcentral also lists the same sequence under 1 other name. The record is from RNAcentral. Lineage: Bacteria; Bacillati; Actinomycetota; Actinomycetes; Kitasatosporales; Streptomycetaceae.
GUACGGCCUCCGCCGAAUCCGGAGCCCACGCGGCAGCCGGAGCCGGGGACCCAACCGACUUUGGGGUGAAUCGGUCCAACUCCUCCACGGGGAGGGACCGUAGGGCAACCCUUCCGAACCACCCGCCCGAACCCGACAGCUAACCCGGUAGGCGGCCCAUGGAAGGAGUC